UCUCCAGUGGCGCAGUUGGUUAGCGCAUGGUACUUAUAAGACAGUAACUGAUUGUGCUGAUCGAUAAUGCAAAGGUAAAAGAAGUAAUGCCGAGGUCGCGAGUUCGAGCCUCGCCUGGAGAA
Transfer RNA from Daphnia magna, 122 nucleotides. It matches the Rfam family "tRNA". Rfam says of the family: Transfer RNA (tRNA) molecules are approximately 80 nucleotides in length. Their secondary structure includes four short double-helical elements and three loops (D, anti-codon, and T loops). The record is from Rfam. NCBI's taxonomy places the organism in Eukaryota, Metazoa, Arthropoda, Branchiopoda, Diplostraca, Daphniidae.